UUCUCUCUCUCUCUCACUCUCUCUCUCUCGACAGAACUUUAAGAACUCUCCCCACCUCCAGUUUUCAUUAGUCAAGAUAGUUUAGUUCAAAUAUCUGGUGAUUUCAGACUUGUGGAGAGUUAUUUUAAUGAAUAAUGUGAACAUUAAAUGGAAAAUGUUUCACACAUUGCUUUUAUUCUGUUUGUUCUUGUGGCAUGUGGUUGGUGUGUUUGGUGUUGAGAGAGUGUCAGUGAUGGAGGGAGAUUCUGUCACUCUACACACUGAUGUCACUGAAAUACAGAGAGAUGAUGAGAUCGAGUGGAGGUUUGGACCUGAAAACAUUCGCAUCGCUAGAAUCAAGAGAAAGAUCGGAGACUUCUCUACAUCUGAUGAUGUUCUUGAUGGGAGAUUCAGAGGUCGACUGCAUCUGAACAAUCAGACUGGAUCUCUCACCAUCACAAACAUCAGAACUGAACACACUGGACUUUAUGAACUAAACAUCAUUACAGUAAAUGAGCGAACGACAAAGAGAUUCAGUGUUACUGUUUAUGCUCAUCUGCCCAUUCCUGUCAUCAUCAGAGACUCUUCUCAAUGUUCUUCAAGCUCUAAAUGUGUGUUGGUGUGUUCAGUGGUGAAUGUGACACAGGUGACUCUCUCCUGGUACAAAGGAAACAGUUUAUUCUCCUCCAUCAGUGUGUCUGAUCUCAACAGCAGUCUCUCUCUACAUCUGGAGGUGGAAUAUCAGGAGAACAACAUCUACAGCUGUGUGAUCAACAAUCCCAUCAGAAACCAGACUCAACAUCUCAACAUUAAUGAAGUCUGUCAGCUGUGUUCAGAAAGUCCUUCACAACCCCAAAACUUGUCUCUUAUGAUGCUGAUAUCUGCUGCUGCUGCUGCUGGAACUCUCUUCAUCGCUGCAGUUUUGAUGUUCUGCAUCUGCAGAAAACACAGAAAAACUGAUCAAGAGGAUCAGACUCGUACAGAGAUUAUUUACGCUGAUCCAACAUACCAAAGAUGAACACAGAAAUCAAUAGUAAAACAGGAGGAUGAUGUGGUGUACGCAGGUGUCGCUGUGAGAUAUUGAUCAAACAAUUCAAUUUCCUGAUUUAUUCUAAUCACUGUAACUAUGACUCUGUUCAGCAGUGUUACUGUAUUAAAUAUGCUUUUAUUUGUGUUGUGUCAUUUAAAGUGGUGAGAUGAUUGGGGGCUUUAAUGUUCAUGUGUGAUUUCUGUAUACUGAAAUGUAAAAUAGAGUUGAUCGUGUGACAUUAAUGGAUUUAUAUAAAGGGGCUUGUGACAAACAUGUUUUAUUACCUUUUUUAACCAUAUACUGUAUUUUCUUUCUGUCUUAAUUUUGAAAACUUAAAAAGAUUCAGUAAUGUUAUUAGUGGUGGUGUAAUAGUGUUCAUUUAGUGUUUAUUUUACAGUGUCAAUGCUACAAAACUGCUACCAACCUUUUAGAACAAAAAAAAAUGUAUAAAAUACAUUUAAAAACCUGUCAAUAACAUAUAGACCAAUGUGCAGACUAAAAAGGACAAUUUGGCCAUACCUGAAAACACAGCUGGCAGCAAAGCACACUUGCAUUUUUACAUGCAUUCUUUCACCUUUCAGCUCGUAGAAACCGUUUUUCAUUUGAGCAUUUAUUUUAAAAGCUGUUUGCACUCAGAUGAUGACACGGGCAACGUGUCAAGUUAUUGCAAUGACAUACAGAUAUGGUAAGAAAUUAUUUAGCAGAGACGGGCCACUUCUAUUAAAAUAAAUCACACAGGCCAAAACACAAACAGAAAUUCUGGCCCAGAACGGACAUUUCAAAGUUGAAUUUACUGGCUAAAGCAUUGUUUUCUGAGAAGCCAGUAUUUCAACUUAGCAUGUUUCCUAAAUCUCUGAUAACAUAUUAUGAUAAUUUUAUGCUUUAGUACAGGAAAUAUAUUACAUACUGCACCUUUAACGGCUGCCGGAAGUGAUGUUUCAAACCAAAGCGUUGUGUUGCCACUAGCUUUAGCUCGCUAUCCACUCUCAGUUCAACACUUUUAACUCAAUAUACAUAUUCACACAGCAUGGUAUGAUGGUAAAACGUUAAACUCACUUUUGUAAGCUGCUGUCUUCACAGAAGUUUCACUAGUUGUCAUAUUCAUUAUUUACAAUUGUUUUAAAAGAUUACCAUCGCUGACGGUAACUCCGCCCCUUCCGCUAUGUUUGGCAAGCCGCGUGCGCUGAGUGCACAAAGUGUCCAACAUUACGCACUCCGUUUUGACAGUUAAAAAAGUGCCUCAUCCGGGUACUCGUAGUGCACUUCGUUUGGUUGCAUUUUCACUGUAAACAUAUUACUCGCACUACUUACACUUCAAAAUGACGUAAAAUAGUGCAGAAGUGUGCGGUUUGGGACGCACCUUUUGAAACGGUCCGUGUACAUUUUGACCGUUUGAUUUUUAAUUUGAAAAGAAAUAAGCAGAAAUGAGAAAAUUCGGAAAAAAAUGGAAAAACAAGAAUUCGGCUUAAUUUUUUUAGAAAACGCAGAAAAAGCUUGAGUAUUUGAUUUGUACUUGUGGGUGGGCCUAAAACACCCCUUUCCUCUGAUUGGUCAAUCCACACCAUCAUCUCUUCCUCAAAUGCUGAAUAACAGUCCACCGCUGUCAUAAGACUAUGAAGUUUCAUUUGUCUGGUUUUAGAUUAAUUUAUCAUUCUUAAUAUUAUUUUUCAGAACAUGUUACUGAUCCAUAUUUAUUGCACCUAUGCUAUCUCUCAUUAUGCAAACAAUGAAACAAAUAUCAGAGUUAAUGUCCACUGAAUGUUUGAAGUGAACAGUAAUAUGCAAUAAAAACACACAGAAAUGAUGAAGAUCAGAAUGUAUAAUAUUUUAAUCAAGUGAAAUAUGGUCCAGAAGCAUCACUCACUUCUACAUCAUUUACUUUAUUGAUCUUAUCUGUUCUGUUGAAACUGUUAUUCACACAUGUAUGAGGGCUGCCAACUCUCACACACUGAGUGUGAGAGUCACGCAACUGACACUGUUCUCACGCCAUACUUCCCUUUUCAGCGCACAGACAGCACCGUGCAGCAAAGAAGUUUUUUUAUUUUUUUAAAUCAUUUAUAAAAAGAAAAAAAAAUUGGUUUAGCACCAGACCACAUAAUUUUAUGUAUAUGAAACUUCCCCAAUAAAACUAGCAAUUGAAUGAUAUAUUCUUUAUCCUUUUCUAUCCCACAGUCAUUUACAUAUAUCAUUAUAUCAGUCCCACCCAGUUUUAUAUCUAUAUUGAGUUUCCUUUUAAUGACAUUUUCAACAUCAACCCAAAACAUCUUUGUGUAAAUACAAUGAAAGAAUAAAUGAAAAAUAGUUUCUUUAUCAUUAUUAUUAUAGAAUUCACACGAGUAAUCAAUAUUAAAUUUGAAAUGUUCCAUUAUGUUUCACAGGAUAAAUGAUUUUAUAUGAAACUUCCUUUAUUUUAUUAUUAAUAAAGAAUUUAUCAACUGUUCUCCAAGCCUUACACCACUUUAAAUCUCCAAAUAUUGAUGACCAA
Myxocyprinus asiaticus (Chinese sucker) is the source of this 3494-nucleotide RNA transcript. It is a transcript of the gene named CD48 antigen-like, with no coding region annotated. NCBI's taxonomy places the organism in Eukaryota, Metazoa, Chordata, Actinopteri, Cypriniformes, Catostomidae. The transcript is spliced from 7 exons. The record is from RefSeq and is a predicted model, not a curated record.